This 2923-nucleotide ribosomal RNA is filed under the name Klebsiella pneumoniae. RNAcentral describes it as "23S ribosomal RNA". It matches the Rfam family "Bacterial large subunit ribosomal RNA". The record is from RNAcentral. Lineage: Bacteria; Pseudomonadati; Pseudomonadota; Gammaproteobacteria; Enterobacterales; Enterobacteriaceae. RNAcentral also lists the same sequence under 1 other name.
GGGUUGUGAGGUUAAGCGACUAAGCGUACACGGUGGAUGCCCUGGCAGUCAGAGGCGAUGAAGGACGUGCUAAUCUGCGAAAAGCGUCGGUAAGGUGAUAUGAACCGUUAUAACCGGCGAUGUCCGAAUGGGGAAACCCAGUGCAAUUCGUUGCACUAUCGUUAACUGAAUACAUAGGUUAACGAGGCGAACCGGGGGAACUGAAACAUCUAAGUACCCCGAGGAAAAGAAAUCAACCGAGAUUCCCCCAGUAGCGGCGAGCGAACGGGGAGCAGCCCAGAGUCUGAAUCAGCUUGUGUGUUAGUGGAACGGUCUGGAAAGUCCGACGGUACAGGGUGAUAGUCCCGUACACCAAAAUGCACAGGUUGUGAACUCGAAGAGUAGGGCGGGACACGUGGUAUCCUGUCUGAAUAUGGGGGGACCAUCCUCCAAGGCUAAAUACUCCUGACUGACCGAUAGUGAACCAGUACCGUGAGGGAAAGGCGAAAAGAACCCCGGCGAGGGGAGUGAAAAAGAACCUGAAACCGUGUACGUACAAGCAGUGGGAGCACCUUCGGGUGUGACUGCGUACCUUUUGUAUAAUGGGUCAGCGACUUAUAUUCUGUAGCAAGGUUAACCGUAUAGGGGAGCCGCAGGGAAACCGAGUCUUAACUGGGCGUUAAGUUGCAGGGUAUAGACCCGAAACCCGGUGAUCUAGCCAUGGGCAGGUUGAAGGUUGGGUAACACUAACUGGAGGACCGAACCGACUAAUGUUGAAAAAUUAGCGGAUGACUUGUGGCUGGGGGUGAAAGGCCAAUCAAACCGGGAGAUAGCUGGUUCUCCCCGAAAGCUAUUUAGGUAGCGCCUCGUGAACUCAUCUUCGGGGGUAGAGCACUGUUUCGGCUAGGGGGUCAUCCCGACUUACCAACCCGAUGCAAACUACGAAUACCGAAGAAUGUUAUCACGGGAGACACACGGCGGGUGCUAACGUCCGUCGUGAAGAGGGAAACAACCCAGACCGCCAGCUAAGGUCCCAAAGUCAUGGUUAAGUGGGAAACGAUGUGGGAAGGCACAGACAGCCAGGAUGUUGGCUUAGAAGCAGCCAUCAUUUAAAGAAAGCGUAAUAGCUCACUGGUCGAGUCGGCCUGCGCGGAAGAUGUAACGGGGCUAAACCAUGCACCGAAGCUGCGGCAGCGACACUAUGUGUUGUUGGGUAGGGGAGCGUUCUGUAAGCCUGCGAAGGUGUGCUGUGAGGCAUGCUGGAGGUAUCAGAAGUGCGAAUGCUGACAUAAGUAACGAUAAAGCGGGUGAAAAGCCCGCUCGCCGGAAGACCAAGGGUUCCUGUCCAACGUUAAUCGGGGCAGGGUGAGUCGACCCCUAAGGCGAGGCCGAAAGGCGUAGUCGAUGGGAAACAGGUUAAUAUUCCUGUACUUGGUGUUACUGCGAAGGGGGGACGGAGAAGGCUAUGUUAGCCGGGCGACGGUUGUCCCGGUUUAAGCAUGUAGGCUGGUUGUCCAGGCAAAUCCGGAUAAUCAAGGCUGAGGUGUGAUGACGAGGCACUACGGUGCUGAAGUAACAAAUGCCCUGCUUCCAGGAAAAGCCUCUAAGCAUCAGGUAACAUUAAAUCGUACCCCAAACCGACACAGGUGGUCAGGUAGAGAAUACCAAGGCGCUUGAGAGAACUCGGGUGAAGGAACUAGGCAAAAUGGUGCCGUAACUUCGGGAGAAGGCACGCUGGUGUGUAGGUGAAGCCCCUGCGGGUGGAGCUGAGACCAGUCGAAGAUACCAGCUGGCUGCAACUGUUUAUUAAAAACACAGCACUGUGCAAACACGAAAGUGGACGUAUACGGUGUGACGCCUGCCCGGUGCCGGAAGGUUAAUUGAUGGGGUUAUCCGUAAGGAGAAGCUCUUGAUCGAAGCCCCGGUAAACGGCGGCCGUAACUAUAACGGUCCUAAGGUAGCGAAAUUCCUUGUCGGGUAAGUUCCGACCUGCACGAAUGGCGUAAUGAUGGCCAGGCUGUCUCCACCCGAGACUCAGUGAAAUUGAACUCGCUGUGAAGAUGCAGUGUACCCGCGGCAAGACGGAAAGACCCCGUGAACCUUUACUAUAGCUUGACACUGAACAUUGAGCCUUGAUGUGUAGGAUAGGUGGGAGGCUUUGAAGCGUGGACGCCAGUCUGCGUGGAGCCAACCUUGAAAUACCACCCUUUAAUGUUUGAUGUUCUAACGUUGGCCCCUGACCGGGGUUGCGGACAGUGUCUGGUGGGUAGUUUGACUGGGGCGGUCUCCUCCCAAAGCGUAACGGAGGAGCACGAAGGUUAGCUAAUCCUGGUCGGACAUCAGGAGGUUAGUGCAAUGGCAUAAGCUAGCUUGACUGCGAGCGUGACGGCGCGAGCAGGUGCGAAAGCAGGUCAUAGUGAUCCGGUGGUUCUGAAUGGAAGGGCCAUCGCUCAACGGAUAAAAGGUACUCCGGGGAUAACAGGCUGAUACCGCCCAAGAGUUCAUAUCGACGGCGGUGUUUGGCACCUCGAUGUCGGCUCAUCACAUCCUGGGGCUGAAGUAGGUCCCAAGGGUAUGGCUGUUCGCCAUUUAAAGUGGUACGCGAGCUGGGUUUAGAACGUCGUGAGACAGUUCGGUCCCUAUCUGCCGUGGGCGCUGGAGAAUUGAGGGGGGCUGCUCCUAGUACGAGAGGACCGGAGUGGACGCAUCACUGGUGUUCGGGUUGUCAUGCCAAUGGCACUGCCCGGUAGCUAAAUGCGGAAGAGAUAAGUGCUGAAAGCAUCUAAGCACGAAACUUGCCCCGAGAUGAGUUCUCCCUGAGACUUUAAGUCUCCUGAAGGAACGUUGAAGACGACGACGUUGAUAGGCCGGGUGUGUAAGCGCAGCGAUGCGUUGAGCUAACCGGUACUAAUGAACCGUGAGGCUUAACCUUACAACGCCGAAG